RNAcentral lists this ribosomal RNA (2142 nucleotides) under Salmonella enterica subsp. enterica. Its description in RNAcentral is "partial 23S ribosomal RNA". It matches the Rfam family "Bacterial large subunit ribosomal RNA", at positions 679 to 2802 of the family's 2925-position model. RNAcentral also lists the same sequence under 1 other name. Lineage: Bacteria; Pseudomonadati; Pseudomonadota; Gammaproteobacteria; Enterobacterales; Enterobacteriaceae. The record is from RNAcentral.
GAGUCUUAACCGGGCGUUAAGUUGCAGGGUAUAGACCCGAAACCCGGUGAUCUAGCCAUGGGCAGGUUGAAGGUUGGGUAACACUAACUGGAGGACCGAACCGACUAAUGUUGAAAAAUUAGCGGAUGACCUGUGGCUGGGGGUGAAAGGCCAAUCAAACCGGGAGAUAGCUGGUUCUCCCCGAAAGCUAUUUAGGUAGCGCCUCGUGAAUUCAUCUCCGGGGGUAGAGCACUGUUUCGGCUAGGGGGCCAUCCCGGCUUACCAACCCGAUGCAAACUGCGAAUACCGGAGAAUGUUAUCACGGGAGACACACGGCGGGUGCUAACGUCCGUCGUGAAGAGGGAAACAACCCAGACCGCCAGCUAAGGUCCCAAAGUCAUGGUUAAGUGGGAAACGAUGUGGGAAGGCCCAGACAGCCAGGAUGUUGGCUUAGAAGCAGCCAUCAUUUAAAGAAAGCGUAAUAGCUCACUGGUCGAGUCGGCCUGCGCGGAAGAUGUAACGGGGCUAAACCAUGCACCGAAGCUGCGGCAGCGACACUGUGUGUUGUUGGGUAGGGGAGCGUUCUGUAAGCCUGUGAAGGUGUGUCGUGAGGCAUGCUGGAGGUAUCAGAAGUGCGAAUGCUGACAUAAGUAACGAUAAAGCGGGUGAAAAGCCCGCUCGCCGGAAGACCAAGGGUUCCUGUCCAACGUUAAUCGGGGCAGGGUGAGUCGACCCCUAAGGCGAGGCCGAAAGGCGUAGUCGAUGGGAAACGGGUUAAUAUUCCCGUACUUGGUGUUACUGCGAAGGGGGGACGGAGAAGGCUAUGUUGGCCGGGCGACGGUUGUCCCGGUUUAAGCGUGUAGGUGUGUGUUCCAGGUAAAUCCGGUUCACUUUAACACUGAGGCGUGACGACGAGGCACUACGGUGCUGAAGCAACAAAUGCCCUGCUUCCAGGAAAAGCCUCUAAGCAUCAGGUAACAUCAAAUCGUACCCCAAACCGACACAGGUGGUCAGGUAGAGAAUACCAAGGCGCUUGAGAGAACUCGGGUGAAGGAACUAGGCAAAAUGGUGCCGUAACUUCGGGAGAAGGCACGCUGACACGUAGGUGAAGUGAUUUACUCAUGGAGCUGAAGUCAGUCGAAGAUACCAGCUGGCUGCAACUGUUUAUUAAAAACACAGCACUGUGCAAACACGAAAGUGGACGUAUACGGUGUGACGCCUGCCCGGUGCCGGAAGGUUAAUUGAUGGGGUCAGCGCAAGCGAAGCUCCUGAUCGAAGCCCCGGUAAACGGCGGCCGUAACUAUAACGGUCCUAAGGUAGCGAAAUUCCUUGUCGGGUAAGUUCCGACCUGCACGAAUGGCGUAAUGAUGGCCAGGCUGUCUCCACCCGAGACUCAGUGAAAUUGAACUCGCUGUGAAGAUGCAGUGUACCCGCGGCAAGACGGAAAGACCCCGUGAACCUUUACUAUAGCUUGACACUGAACAUUGAGCCUUGAUGUGUAGGAUAGGUGGGAGGCUUUGAAGUGUGGACGCCAGUCUGCAUGGAGCCGACCUUGAAAUACCACCCUUUAAUGUUUGAUGUUCUAACGUGGACCCGUUACCCGGGUUGCGGACAGUGUCUGGUGGGUAGUUUGACUGGGGCGGUCUCCUCCUAAAGAGUAACGGAGGAGCACGAAGGUUGGCUAAUCCUGGUCGGACAUCAGGAGGUUAGUGCAAUGGCAUAAGCCAGCUUGACUGCGAGCGUGACGGCGCGAGCAGGUGCGAAAGCAGGUCAUAGUGAUCCGGUGGUUCUGAAUGGAAGGGCCAUCGCUCAACGGAUAAAAGGUACUCCGGGGAUAACAGGCUGAUACCGCCCAAGAGUUCAUAUCGACGGCGGUGUUUGGCACCUCGAUGUCGGCUCAUCACAUCCUGGGGCUGAAGUAGGUCCCAAGGGUAUGGCUGUUCGCCAUUUAAAGUGGUACGCGAGCUGGGUUUAGAACGUCGUGAGACAGUUCGGUCCCUAUCUGCCGUGGGCGCUGGAGAACUGAGGGGGGCUGCUCCUAGUACGAGAGGACCGGAGUGGACGCAUCACUGGUGUUCGGGUUGUCAUGCCAAUGGCACUGCCCGGUAGCUAAAUGCGGAAGAGAUAAGUGCUGAAAGCAUCUAAGCACGAAACUUGCCCCGA